UGGGGGUCCCUAAUUGGCUUGACUUCCUCUCCUAAAUGAAUUCAAUGUUGGACUAUUGAAAGGCUGAUCCCUUUGAUGACAGCCAUGGUCCAGCUUAUGGCUUUCUUAUUCUCUCUAAGGAUAGCUAAAUAUUUUUUUUUGGGUUUGAUCUAGGUCUGAUGCGAUAAUUAUGGAUAAAAUUUCUGAUGGACCUAGAUACGCAUAUUUGAGGUGCUCAGAGAGUGUUUUGAGUUUUAGUUUCGGUGCUUCCUCAAUCAAUGGUUUGUGUAUUGGUUCAUCCAUCCUUAUAAGUGGUUCAACAGAUAGUUGCCAUUAUAGAUGAACUCUCU
This 329-nucleotide long non-coding RNA is filed under the name Elaeis guineensis (African oil palm). Its description in RNAcentral is "long non-coding RNA (EGUI_LNC031170)". The record is from RNAcentral. Lineage: Eukaryota; Viridiplantae; Streptophyta; Magnoliopsida; Arecales; Arecaceae.